RNAcentral lists this unclassified non-coding RNA (79 nucleotides) under Pseudomonas chlororaphis. The record is from RNAcentral. Lineage: Bacteria; Pseudomonadati; Pseudomonadota; Gammaproteobacteria; Pseudomonadales; Pseudomonadaceae.
GUAGGAGCGAGGCUUGCCCGCGAUAGCGUCCGUUCAGGCAACCCGCGUUGCCUGGAUCGCGGGCAAGCCUCGCUCCUAC